CAGUAGCCGCGGUAAUACAGAGGGUGCGAGCGUUAAUCGGAUUUACUGGGCGUAAAGCGUGCGUAGGCGGCUUCUUAAGUCGGAUGUGAAAUCCCUGAGCUUAACUUAGGAAUUGCAUUCGAUACUGGGAAGCUAGAGUAUUGGAGAGGAUGGUAGAAUUCCAGGUGUAGCGGUGAAAUGCGUAGAGAUCUGGAGGAAUACCGAUGGCGAAGGCAGCCAUCUGGCCUAAUACUGACGCUGAGGUACGAAAGCAUGGGGAGCAAACAGGAUUAGAUACCCCAGUAGUCCCUGUCUCUUAUAC
Molecule: ribosomal RNA, 301 nt
Filed under: uncultured bacterium
Lineage: Bacteria
Description: partial 16S ribosomal RNA
Rfam family: Bacterial small subunit ribosomal RNA
Source: RNAcentral